GACGAACGCUGGCGGCGUGCUUAACACAUGCAAGUCGAACGAUGAAGCUGGAGCUUGCUCCGGUGGAUUAGUGGCGAACGGGUGAGUAACACGUGAGCAAUCUGCCCUUGACUCUGGGAUAACUGCGGGAAACUGUAGCUAAUACCGGAUAUGAGAUCUGAAGGCAUCUUCGGGUUUGGAAAGAAUUUCGGUCAAGGAUGAGCUCGCGGCCUAUCAGCUAGUUGGUGAGGUAAUGGCUCACCAAGGCGACGACGGGUAGCCGGCCUGAGAGGGUGACCGGCCACACUGGAACUGAGACACGGUCCAGACUCCUACGGGAGGCAGCAAUGGGGAAUCUUGCACAAUGGGCGAAAGCCUGAUGCAGCAACGCCGCGUGAGGGAUGAAGGCCUUCGGGUUGUAAACCUCUUUUAGCAGGGAAGAAGCGAAAGUGACGGUACCUGCAGAAAAAGCACCGGCUAACUACGUGCCAGCCGCCGCGGUAA
This 483-nucleotide ribosomal RNA is filed under the name uncultured bacterium. Its description in RNAcentral is "partial 16S ribosomal RNA". It matches the Rfam family "Bacterial small subunit ribosomal RNA", at positions 28 to 523 of the family's 1533-position model. The record is from RNAcentral.